AGUGAACGCUGGCGGCGUGCUUAACACAUGCAAGUCGAACGAGAACGGAUUAUAGCUUGCUAUAAUUGUCAGCUAAGUGGCGCACGGGUGAGUAAUGUAUAGGUAAUAUGCCUCUUACUAAGGGAUAACAAAUGGAAACGUUUGCUAAUACCUUAUACUCCUUAUUAACAGAAGUUAAUAAGGGAAAGAUUUAUUGGUAAGAGAUUAGCCUGUAUUGUAUCAGUUAGUUGGUGGGGUAAUGGCUUACCAAGACUAUGACACAUAACUGGUUUGAGAGGAUGAGCAGUCACACUGGAACUGAGACACGGUCCAGACUCCUACGGGCGGCAGCAGUGGGGAAUAUUGCACAAUGGACGAAAGUCUGAUGCAGCGACGCCGCGUGGAGGAUGACACAUUUCGGUGCGUAAACUCCUUUUAUAUGAGAAGAUAAUGACGGUAUCAUAUGAAUAAGCACCGGCUAACUCCGUGCCAGCCGCCGCAGUAA
RNAcentral lists this ribosomal RNA (484 nucleotides) under uncultured bacterium. RNAcentral's name for it is "partial 16S ribosomal RNA". It matches the Rfam family "Bacterial small subunit ribosomal RNA", at positions 29 to 523 of the family's 1533-position model. The record is from RNAcentral.